Long non-coding RNA from Oncorhynchus kisutch (coho salmon), 1519 nucleotides. RefSeq lists it as uncharacterized. The record is from RefSeq and is a predicted model, not a curated record. NCBI's taxonomy places the organism in Eukaryota, Metazoa, Chordata, Actinopteri, Salmoniformes, Salmonidae. The transcript has 2 exons.
CAGCUACAUGCGUUAGAUACAAAAUAUAUGACAAUUAGAAAAUCAAGACAUUAUUUACAGAUGGGAAAAAAUUACGCUGUCUAUUUUCUGGAAUUUAUUCAAUAAUGUAUUGAAGAAACAUCACCGUCUUUUUGGUACCAUCCCUUCCCAGUGUCACCUGUAAGACGACAGCAGGCACAGAGAAGAUCAUGGCUUCGUUGAAGAUGGGGUUGGUGUCGUCUCUUUUCAUGGAGGUCUUCUUCUUACUGAUUUUCUUACCAUCUUGCAGAAGGUACACUUUGACAAAGGGAUCUGUUAACGGAGAGAUUGUGACAGCUUUGUUCACAAACAAUUUAAAUACCAAAAGUGUCAUCCGAAAUAUUAGUCUGUGUGUGUAGACAGCGAGAAAAGUAAAACAAAAAAUAGAUGUUUUAACCCAUGCGACCAUUGUUCUUCAUAUUUAACUUUGCAUGUUAGCAUAAUGGAGGUAAAGUGAUGGUAAAUAUUUCAUUUAAAGAAAAUCUACCCACUUUUUGAGACAUUCAGUCAUAAAUUCUAAUGAUAAUUGGGGCAAAUCACUUUGCAAAAAGCCAAAUAGAAAGAUAAAUUGUUGAAUGACUGGGUAAUAUAUAGUAUUAAUGUGAAUAGGUGCUCACACAUGAUACAAUAUAGAGACAAACAUAAGAGCUAAAGCUGUGAAGUAGUGUCACCUGCUGUGGUUUUGUCAUUGGUCCACACAAGGUUCUUUGCUUUGGCCACCACCACUGUAAGGCGCUCAGCAGUGGGCAAGUAGCUGAGAGACAGCAGAAUCUCCCCAACUGCAUCCACGGCCUAAAGACAACACAAGCCAAAAGAGGCCAUUGUUGCACACUGCACAGAUACGACAGUCACUGACGAUUCUAUAAAAAUCAAACUGUUUACAUGAUUUCAUCCUCCACAUGUUUCAUGUUCCGCUUCAUGCCAUCAGCACCUUUAAAACCUAACAUUUUAUAUGCUUUAUUACCCUUAACAAAAAUCACAUGACAAAAAAAACUACGUGGUUUUCGGACACGUGUGAUCAAAUCAUGUGAACAUUUUCAAAUGAGAAAAAAAAGAUAUUCACGUUAGAAAUGUUCACGAGUCAGACGUGGUUUUGUCAUGUGUUUUUCCUUCGUGAAAAAUAAUUUCCCCACGUGACAUUUUGUUUUCAUGUUUACUUUUCACAGGUUUAUUUUCACUACUUCCUGCUACAUCUGGUCUUCCAUCCAGUGACUGAGUAGGACCUACCCUGCUUAGCUUCAGAGGCAAACCAGCAGUGGGAUGCAGGGUGCUAUGUUGCUGGAAUGAAGUUGCCAACAUUUUCAGCGAAAUCAAAGACUAGGGUAACAUAACCAAAGAUUGAGAAAAUUGCAGGAAAGAGGGGAGGUGUUUUAUUUAAUUGCAUUAUCUUCUCCUUUUCUUUUCUUUUAACCGAAAACUAUUUUUUUUGUAUCCAUUUACAAUUCAUUUGCUCUCGCAUUUCAAAAUGAUUUCCUUGCAAUAUUUUGUUUUUCUAUCAAUA